CAAUUGGAAAUUUUUCUGUUCUAAGAGUAUUGGUGAUGAAGAAAAACAAUUUUACAGGGAAUAUUCCUUCAGCCAUAGGCCAACUAAUAUACCUUCAAAUCUUGCUCCUUUCUUCCAAUCAUUUCUCAGGUUUAAUUCCACACACAAUUGUAUCAUUGCAAGAAAUGGCAAUAGAAGACCAAGAUGGUAUUGUAUUGUCCAAUUUUUAUUAUGGGCAAAUAUAUCGGGAUGGAUUGGAUAUGACUUCAAAGGGUAGAGAAGAGCACUACACAUAUAUUCUUUCCACUCUCACAGCCAUAGAUCUAUCAAACAAUGAAUUGGAUGGAGGAAUUCCUUUUGAUUUUGGGAAUUUAAAGGGGUUAAGGUUUGUGAACCUUUCAAUGAACAAUUUGAAUGGGACCAUUCCAAGUAGUUUGGGAGAAAUGGGCCAGCUAGAGUCAUUAGACCUUUCAAGAAAUAAAUUUUCUGGAAAAAUCCCUAUGGAGUUUACAUCUCUUAGCUCUUUAGGUUUCCUAAAUUUAUCAAACAACCACCUUUCAGGAAGUAUACCCCAAGGAACACAGAUGAGUACAUUUGGAGAAUCCUCUUAUUCAGAAAAUUCUAAUUUAUGGGGGUGUCCCCUACCCAAAAAUUGUUCUUGGCCACAAUAUAUUCCUCGUCCUCCUAAAGUUUCAAUUAACAAAGAAAAGAAAAACACUAAAUAUCCUUUGUAUGGAAUAGCAUUAGGAUUGUCAUAUGGAGUAGCAUUUGGAGGAAUAGUGUCAUUGAUCUUGAUAAAAAUGAGUUGGAGAAGGAAAUAUUUCAGUAAAGUUGAUGCAAUCCUUAAAAUUGUGUUUCCUUGGAUGAAGGACUUGACACUAUAAAAGGAUACAUCUAUAAAAGACGGAGGACCUGGUACUAUAAAGGGGCACAUCUAUAAAAGGACUAUAAUUUUGCUAAGGAAGGCUUUUUGGUGUAUUCUCCUUAUUGAAGACAAAAACAAAAAUAAUGGUGGCUUCAUCAAGCAUAUUAUUGUAUAUAGUUUAAUUGUUAUGCUAAAUCCAUAUAAAAAUUAUGUUUCCAUGGAUGAAGGACCCGACACUAUAAAAAGGAUACAUCUAUAAAAGAUAUGUGUACUAGACUUUUUUUUGCGAAAGAAGGCUUUUUGGUGCACUCUCCUUAUUGAAGACAAAAACAUAUUAUUGGUGGUUUCACCCAACAUAUUGUUGUAUAUAGUUUAAUUAUUAUGCUAAAUUAAGAUAAAAAUUGUGUUUCCAUAGAUGAAGGACCUGACACUAUAAAGGGAUACAUCUAUAAAAGGCGAGUUAUUUUUUUUC
Cryptomeria japonica (Japanese cedar) is the source of this 1316-nucleotide RNA transcript. It is a transcript of the gene named leucine-rich repeat receptor-like serine/threonine-protein kinase BAM1, with no coding region annotated. The transcript has 4 exons. NCBI's taxonomy places the organism in Eukaryota, Viridiplantae, Streptophyta, Pinopsida, Cupressales, Cupressaceae. The record is from RefSeq and is a predicted model, not a curated record.